This is a long non-coding RNA of Mytilus californianus (California mussel), 8318 nucleotides long. RefSeq lists it as uncharacterized. NCBI's taxonomy places the organism in Eukaryota, Metazoa, Mollusca, Bivalvia, Mytilida, Mytilidae. The record is from RefSeq and is a predicted model, not a curated record. The transcript is spliced from 2 exons.
UUGACCUUAAAAUACCAUAUAUUUUAAAUUACUGAUAUAAACAAACGGUCCUGUUUAUUCAUGAAAUAAUUUAAACAAUAAGCGACAGACCAAUUACCUUUUAAAUAAGUCAAAACAAACAACAAACAAUAGGCAUGCGUAAUUCUAUACACAUGCAAAAGGACAUUUAAAAUAUUUCAGAACAUGACUUAUCCUAUGAGAAGGCAUAAGGGUAUGUAAUCUAUGUCUUUUGAAUAUCUGUUUUGAACAUCGGUAACAACAUUGGAAAAAUACGUGUACUCCAUAUAAAUAGAUAUAUUAGUGAUAAAAGAAUGUUUACACUGAUUGUAAUGGUAUAAUAUAAAAAGGAUAAUUUUCUUGGUAAGAAAAAUCGAACAACACUGAUUUAUUUUUACAAUAUUUGAAAUAACCGUUUAACCGUGUAAACAAAUCGAUUAUCUAUAUAGAAAGAAACAUUACGGCGAUACCUGUAACAAAGGUGAAAACGGAAUAUACACGAGUACUGGAGAAACGACUACUGUAUUGUCACUCCCGAGUGUGAAUAUAAACUUAUUGAUACUAAUUUAGGCGUUUUAAAACAAUGUCAAGUAAACAUGAAGGACCCAAAUAUAAUCGUGGGCGUAGAGGAAGUGUUGAUGAUACAAUAGAAGAGUUUUUAAAUCCAAAAUUACAAUUUCAAAAAGAAGAGCUACCGAAGGGGUCCAAUGCUUUACAGAUACUUAUUCAUCAGUGUGAAAAUGAAAUACACAAGGACGGCUCGGGCAGUGAUUCUGAUGUGGAUGAUGACAAAAUAAAAAAGCCAACGAAGGCAUAUAUGGAACGGCGAAGAAAUACCAUCGCAUGUAAUUAUAGCCAUAAUGUAGGCGUUGAAGGACAAUUCAGAAAAAUGUCUCUCGCGCCAAUUCAAGAAGGAGAAAGAGGUAGAAGUAAUCUUUUAAGUGUUCCGAAGGGACCUAGAACUCGUUCACUGUCGCCUAUGGAGGAGAAUGUGAUACGCAAAAACAGCAUGAAACAUACUAGUCUUGGUUUUGGAUCAACUCACACAAGAGAAACUAUUAUCAAAUAAUGUUACAUUUUUGUUAGAGAUUAUUUAAUUCCGUCCUACAUGUCAAAAUGUCAAAAAACGAUGAAAUAGACAGUUGAAAAUGGGAAGUUUUCAUUCAUUUAUACUAUGCUACUGACUCGUGUAAAUAUUUUUUUAAGUAGUUACUGAGGAACAUGCUUUGUUAAUUGCAAGGUAAAUAUAUAAAUAUAUUUUAAAAAAACUCGAUAGUUUGUCAGUUGUAUAGGUAAAAUCAGAGUUUAAUAUACACGCAAUUUCUAAAAAAAUGUUUUGUUUCGUAAUACUGUAUUAAUGCUAGUAAUGUAUGAGCUCAAUCCGUCCAAGGAAAGUGUCGGACAAGAUCACGGCCACAGUUAAAGCGAUUUAUUCGUAACAAAAGAACAGACAAAAUAAAUGGUCAUUUGGAUGAUCUCUCCUAAGUCUAAGAGUAGACUUAAGUUAUGUGCUAUCAACAUUUAAUUUACAUUAUUUUGUUUUAUGUGUGUUCUAUGCAAAGGUCAGAAAGUCAGACAUGUUACACCAUUACUACUUGUACAGGCUUGUUUGGUUUCUGCAUGUAUAAGGUUCACAAAAAAAAAACUUUCAGUAGUAACCAGAUUGAAGUUUCAUAAAUUAUUAUAUAACUACAGUCCCCUAGAACAUGUAAUGAGUGUAAUCUCUGUAUACUGGUAAUUAUUAGAACAAACCGAUACUUUGUAACGGUAACUUUUUUUCAGCAAUCAUAAUGAAAAUUGGACGUGUUGCUUAAAGAAAGCGUGUGGGAAUGGCAUUUUGUAAGCUUCGAACAAUUCAUAUCUUGAUAAUAUUACAAGGCAUGGUACAACCCAUAUUAAACUAUGUAAACAGUCUUUCUUGACUACAGGACAAUACGAUUGGUUCAAUAUGAGACAUGUGAUAUGCUACCUUCCCAGAACAUGAUUAACACGUUUGUAUCGCCCUUCCUUUCAGAGUCGUCUGCCUUGUUUCUUCACAAGUCUUUGUGGUUGUGCAAUCCUAAUAAUACCUCCCGAUUGUGUUCAUCUUCAGUGUCGUAUUGAGAUUCCUCGUACCACGGACUCUUCUGUGUAACUCAAUUCUACCGUUUGCAGUUAGAUUAUUAAGUAUUACAUUAAAAUUUUGUCUGUGGCAAUUGGAACUUUGGUGUGUAGUAUCUCAUGAUACUUAACAACAUUGGCUUUACAACCUCAUUGUUCCUACGAUUCCGUCCUCCAUUACUAUUUCAUCACUUUUCGUCGAAUGCGACUUGACUCAUUUAACUUGUCAUUAGUAUCACGACAGGUUCCACUAGUAGAACAAGACCUGCUUACCUGUUUCGGACACUUGAUUUCACCCCCAAGUUUUGUUGGGAUUCUGUUUUUUUGUCAUUAUGUUGUCUCUUUUUUCGAUGUUUGAUUUGUACUGCCCUUCAAAGUAUUCUUAUAUAUUUUAUAUGAACCCUAAAAUACGAAAUUAUUGGUAAUUACUACAAAUAACAUAAAGUUUUGUAUGUCAGCUUUAAAAUGAAUACUAAUUUUACUGACCCUAUAUUAUAAAGAUAGUUGAAAGCUGAACGAUCAAUUGCGCAUUUUAUAUGAUGGUCAAUAGGUCUAUAACAGCAUUUUCAAAGCUAAUAUAUCGUUCAUUCAAUCGGAACCAUGUACCAUCAAAUACGGUGUACUCGUACAUAUAUCUGAACCAUGCAUCAUCAAAUAUGGUAGUACUCAUACAUACAUGCCGUUCAUACAUACAUACAUACAUCUCAUCAUAAAUUUGUACUCAUCAUAAAUCAUCCGCUUUCUUUUGAUGUAUCGUCUUUGUUUCAAUUCUUGAAAAUAAUAUUUUCGAGUUCAUGAUACUAUUAUAUCUACAUAUUCUUACAAUAAUUCUGUAACAGUACAUGUACUACUAUCGUGAUGAAACCUCCUUGAAAUUUCCAUAUAAAGAAGUAAUAACAAAAAUACCGAACUCCGGUGUAAAUUCAAAAAGGUGUUACAUAGAAUAAUUUCUUCAUGUAUACACGUUUAAGCUUUUAAGUAUCUGGUAGUUUAAGUGUCAAUCUUUUUGUUUUUUUCUUCAAACCUAAAGAAAAAGAGAACAGAUUUUGUAAAUGUAACUGUUUCUGUGUACAAGUUUAAAAUUAAACAAAAAAGCGGGUCGCUUUGUCGCUAAAAGAACAUUUCAUCUCGACGAAGAACCGAGCGUCUUAGGAAUUAAUUCUCUAGAUAUUUAGACACAUAAUUCGUAAAAGUGUGUACCUCUUUGGUAGAAAAAUAUGUUCUACGACCAGAUGGAUUGGAUAUAGCAAUAUAACCCUGUCUUCUGUACUAACAUUAGCAACAUGACGGGUGCCACAUGUGGAGCAGGAUCUGCUUACCCUUCCGAGAUCACACACAGUUUUUGGUGGGGUUCGUGUUGCUCAGUCUUUAGUUUUCUAUGUUGUGUUUUGUGUACUGUUGUUUGUCUGUUUCUUUUUAGCCAUGGCGUUGUCGACUUAUGAGUUUGAAUGUCCCUUUAGUAUAUUUCGCCUCUCUUUUUUCUGACAAAAGUUCACAUGUUUUACAUCAUAGUCUGAGUUAUUCCUUUUUAAAUUAGUUUCUGAAUUUUAUUAUCCCACUGUUGCAAAGGAACUCGAAAUAGUUAAAUCACCUUCAUUGAUAAAACAAACAUAAUAUUUCUUUUCUCAAACUUUUAAUUCAGUUGUUUUAUUGACUUUCCGUUGGUUGUAAAUAUUUUAUUGCAUAACUACUUUGUUUUUUCUGAAACGUUAGACUCUUCGAUUUUUAUUUUUUAUAACUACUUUGUUAUAUUUCAUGACUGCAAUAAUGCAUAAAAUCAGUUAGUAUUUCUAUCUUAACUUAGAUACCAUAUUACUAUUUAUUGACAACAGUUUAAAAACAUACUUUAAGGUUACCUCUGUCUGUCUGCAUUAAAGUACAUAUUAUGUCCGUUACACGUUGCUUCAUCUUUAAACAUUCAGUAAUGGAAUAUUAAUGUUCAUUAUUCAUUUUUAGAUAAAAAAAAAAAAUCUUAUAUUUAUUUAAAAAUUUCAAUUUUAUAGAAAAACACGAUUUUUUCCAACUUGCGACAUGCAGUAAAUCCGGUUGGCUCCUUUCAUUAUAAAUUUACUACGUGUAAUAGACCAUGCAUAUUUUAAAAUCAUAUUACAGUUCAUCGAAGUUUUAACACAUUAAACAUCUGACAGAUAUUCUUACGUCUGACCAAUUUAAAACAAUUCUUAUUUAAACUUCCUGUUUGAGUGACUGAUCAGACAAAAAUACUAGUCUCAAAAUGAAUGAACAACAAAUUGGUCAUAAAAAAUCUUAUAAUCGUCACCGAAGAAAUGUAUAGACUGUUAGUGUCACCUACUGUGACCUAACAUAGCAGAAAACACAAAAAAUUAACGAUUUAUUAAACAAGAUAACUAUGCUCGAUGCAGUAUUGAUAUCUUAUUCAUUCAUGUACAAUCCAAUCUUUAUUAUACUGGAGAAAAAAUAUUGAGCACAUUGUUGGGACCUGAACCCGAACGUUAAGCAAUCGAAUGUUUGACUUAAAACGUUUCUCGGAAUUCAAAGUGAAAUCGAGGAACGCUUACAUGACGGGCUUUUCUUUUGUCAAUUGUGUGUAGGGGUCUGUAACAUGAACUAAUACAUCGAAUACCUUCUUUUUAAUGUAAAUAGAAUCCCGAACUUUCCCCCAUAUACUCAGAACGUAAGCAUAUGAUUAUGUUGCUCUUCUUGAUAUUUGAGUUAGAUGAUCAAAUCUUACGUCAAAAACUUGAUAGAAUAUUGACAAACUGGAGAAACAAUUGUCAUUUUCAUAGAGUCUUUUGUACAAUUGGUAGCUAGAAUCAGUAUUUGGACCCCGAAAUUGCAAAUUGAACUAGUAUUGAUAUUAUUAUGUUUGGGCAAACAUUGAUAUUGUUCAUAUGCAAGUAUUUCUGGUGACUAACAACUUUACCGUUAAAUACAAACAUUAUUGUUUUCAUGCCGUAAAAAAUCCUGUGAGAAUUUUUUUUAAUAAGGUUAAUGCUAAUUUGUAAGAUAAUUAAAGAUAAUAUAUGCUGAUUCGUAGUUUUUAUAGUUUUUUGUGUGAAAGCCUAACUCAGACUGAUCUCUGACAUUCUAUUGAAAGAUUUCAUUUGAUAAACUAUGAUUAUACCUAAUUAAUUUUUAUUUGAAAGGGCAAAGAUAAAUAACCUUAUCGUACUUUCUAGUUUUUACUUUACAGAAUAGAUUGAGUGUUGGUUGCUUAACGUCCAGUGGGAAAUAUUUCAUGCAUGUUCAGGACGAUACAGAAUAGAAGUAGCCAAAACAUUUAAAAUGUCGCUGAUUCAAAAAUUUAUUUUAUCCUGCCAUAAGUCGUUCAAUUGGGUGCGGUCAAGCUGGCGGUUGGCAUCCUAAAUGCAAUGUCGUUUCAUAUGAAAAAUAAAGACAAUGUCUGAAAAAAUAAAAGUUUAUGGGUGAAUAUUAAAUUGCAGAAAAAAUAUGACUUUUUUUGUACUGACAUAGAUUACAAACAUGACAAAUGUAGAGAAGUAGUGACGAGUCUCGCUCUUAACCUGAUAUAACUAGAACGUUUUAUUUGAGUAUGGCAGCUUUAGUUUUUUUAAGUCUUGUUUGUCUGCAUGACAAUACUGUGCUGUCAAUUUUUAUCAUUAGUGGUAUAGGUUGUCUGUUGUCCCGAUCGGAAUUCGAUUUCAGACACUGUCUAAUUUCUUCGCUUCGUUAAUCUUCGGUUAUAUAGUUACAUAAUAAUGUACAUGCAAUAACAAGUAAAGUAGCGUAACAAAAGAGUUUACAAAAAUACAACUGGCCAAGUUCUGUUUGACAUGCAAGGUGAUUUGGGAUUCGAUAGGUACAAAACCUAAAUUCAAAUUCUUUAAUGUUUAAGUAUAACAGUAAUGCGAAAUAAACAUAUAAUUUAAAACAGAUUAUAUCUGAGUGAAAGAAUUUGUCUUAUUUUAAAAUGUUUAAAAUGAAAAGUUUCACAAGAUACGUCAAUGUGGUAUUCAAAUGUAUAUUUCAAAUUCUUAAACUAACCCGUUCAUGAAUGCUCUUUUAGGUCACAAACAAAGUUCUUUGAUCAAUAUACGAAAACAAAUUUAUUAUGCUUGCGCUUAACAAAGGGAUAAAUAUGUUCUAAUACAAUUCUUAUUGGAUUUUAUUUUGAUUUUAUACAUGCAAUAGAACUUUGUCAAAUCAAUUUCAUUUCUUUACAAUGUUUACCUACUGAUCGACCUGUGUUUAAAUAUAGUUAUAAACCGACAUGAGAUAAUUUGAUGUCUCGUAAAGGAUGCAUUGGGAUUAAGACAAGAUACUCGUUCAACUUUAUGAAAAUAUAGAUGAUGGUCAAACGUUAUAGCAUCAGCAUCCGCACAAAAUAAUUCAAACAAAUGGGACGUCUAGAUCUAUAGAGGUCAGAUACGAACAAUGGACAUUAAUCGUGUGUGUAUUCUUCUAGAUUAUACUUUAAAUGUAAUGUUUCUCUGGAAAGUCAUAGGGAGGUUUUCAACAAUUAAAAUGAAUAUAAGAAUAAGGAGAUGUUGUAUGAUUGUAAGUGAUACAGCAAUCCGUUAAUGACGAAAGGACAGUCAGAUAUGUGAACAACCAUACUGUAUAGUAAGCUUUAAAAGGCCUUGUGAUGACUAAAUGUAAAACAGUACAAAAGAUAAAACAAAUGGCUUAAUGUAUACUACAACAAUAAAAGAAGAACAAUAUGACAAAUAACAACGAACGACAACCACUGCAUUAAAGGCACAAGGGAAAGGCAAAUGAUAUGUGAGGAGUUUACACAUAUUUGUGUGCGCUCAAUCGUUCCGCUAACUUAUGACUGUAGUAUAUCAACAAAACAUAAUAACAAAUUGUAAAAAUAAAUAGGAAAGGGCUUGGCACGUUGCAUCAGUACUAACCACAAAAACAAAAUCCCCCAAAAAAGAAAGAAGACAAAAAGUACCGAUCUAUGUAUACUCGAAGUUACUGAAAAAAGUAAAAUAACAAAAAAAAACGAACUCCAAGAAAAAUUCAAAACGGAAAGUCCUUUAUCAAAUGGCAAAAUCAAAAGCUCAAACACAUCAAACCAAUAGAAAACAACUGUCAUAUUCCUAUAUUAUAUACAGACUACAUAAGCAGUCUAAGAAAAGUAUGACCUUGUGCAAUGCCAAAUAUAAAUAUCGACAGGAUGCAGUAUCAUAAUUGUUAAUACGUUGAUAGCAUUUCAUGUUUAUUAAAAACAAAAGUUAUUUAUGUCAGUCAAUAUAUGUACACGUGCCUUAAUUGAUAAAAUAAAAAAAAAAGAGAUUCAUUAAAAAAAAAAGAAGAUAUUUUCGGGACAUAGUGCUUGUGCAUAAUUAAACUUUUAUCCUGCUUGAAAACCUACUUUCACCUCCUUGUUGGUGAACAGAGGACUUCGACUAACGGAAGGGGGAUGCGCGCGCAAAUGUAAUCAAAAGCUGCACGCAAACGUAAUGAUUUGUACGCGCAAAUGCAAUGGUAAUGCGCGCAAAUGUUAUGCACCGCAAAUGUAAUAAAAAGCUGCGAGAAAACGUAGAAAAGUUUAAUCUCAAAAUACGCGCAAAUGUAAUGCACCCAAAAAGAAUUGUUAAAAUCAUUUCUGGGAUACGUGCAUACAUAUUCAUUGAUAAGCUGUUGGCGGACUCUGUUAAAUUCAUUGUCUAUACAUUAUGCAAUUGGGUAUUUUUGCACAGGUAGGUAGGUACAAUUGAUGAACCUUAGUCACGUAAUUUCUUAAUUCAAUAGUCGUUCUACAAAUAUUAAAAGACAACCUUUGGUCCCGGAUUUAUAAUGAUUUAACAAACUGGUGUAUACUACCUUCAUAUUUUAAUGUGAUUUAAUGACAUAAUCAUAAACAAACCCUUCUCAAGUCUAGGAGUCGUUAUAAUCUACAGAUUUAAUAAAAGUAUAAAACUAAUUUACCAAAUUCUAUACAAUUUAUAAUGAUAUUAACCAUGAAUUAAAGGAGUGUUGUCCUUUUCGGUAGCCAAUUACCAUGCACCAAUAUUGCAUACUAAUUGUAUUGUUAUUAUAAAUAGCAUUUUGUGAAAUGUAUCUUCUUGAAUAGAAAAACGAUUUUAGGGAUAGUUGCUAAUAAUAACUUAAGUAAACUUAGGAAAAUUUAAAUACGUAGUUUUAAAUGGUAAACAUUCCUCGUGUCCAACUUUAUGUUUUAACCUUGUAUAUAUUAUUAUUUUUUUAGAACUUGUGUGUUAUACAUAUCUAUAGUAGUUUACAAUGCUUAUCUUGAUAAAUUUUACCCAGUA